UACGUACUGUGCAAACGUUAUUCGGAAUCACUGGGCUUAAAGGGUGCGUAGGCGGCUGUCUAAGCAGGGUGUGAAAGCCCCCGGCUCAACCGGGGAAUUGCGUUCUGAACUGGACGGCUGGAGUGGGAUAGGGGUGUGUGGAACUUCCGGUGGAGCGGUGAAAUGUGUUGAUAUCGGAAGGAACGCCGGUGGCGAAAGCGACACACUGGGUCUCAACUGACGCUGAGGCACGAAAGCCAGGGGAGCGAACGGG
RNAcentral lists this ribosomal RNA (253 nucleotides) under uncultured bacterium. Its description in RNAcentral is "partial 16S ribosomal RNA". It matches the Rfam family "Bacterial small subunit ribosomal RNA", at positions 524 to 776 of the family's 1533-position model. The record is from RNAcentral.